AAGUUCCUUUCAGACACUAGAAAGGGGGAAAUUUGAUUAUUUUUUUAAAGAAGAAUUUUAUCCAAGCAUUACUGUAAUCCACUACAGAUUUGCAAAGAAUGCUGCUCAGAUUUCACAGCUAAUGUUCAGUGCUAGUUGGUUCUGUACGUUUCCCCUGUGGAUCUGAACGUGUGCUGCUCUAAUCCCUGCUUUGGCUUGAUCACGACUGAGUUGUGAUUUUACCCACCUGUUGUGGUGGUUAAAUCUGGUGUGAUGUGGCUGUAACAUCCCAAAGUGCCUCCCAUGUUGCAGUGAGUAAUUCUGUGAAACUGAUUUUAAAAAAUCCUUGUUUUUGUUUUUAUUUGCAGUGCUGUCCCAUGGCAGCCACCCCAGCAGAGAGCUCCAGGAGCCAUGGGAAGGGGCUGGAGCGGAGCCAGAGCCACAGCAGCUCUGCCUUGGACUAUUCAGGAGACACCUUUGAGUCCUUCAGCGAGGAGGAGGAGAGGGAAGCAGCUGGAUCCUGGUGUUCCACAGAGGAUUUGGAGGGGGCAGCUGUGUCAGAGGCUUUGGAAAGCUCAGCAUCACAGGCAGGCCAAAGAGCAGCAGAGGAGGAGUUUGAAGCAGUGGAUCCUGCAGCUGUGGAAAGAGCUGCCAUAGGAAAAUGGAUUGAUGCCAUAGGAAAGUGGAUUGAUCUGAAAAAUAAAGACACUGGGAUUAGGCCAGACAAAUCUGCCAUCAUAACUCCUGCUGAAACACUGGAUUUCUGAGGAGAUGCUCAGUUUCCUUGCAGAAUUCCACAACUGUCCUGUGCACUCAGAGCUAAAUAAAUCCCAUGGAGUUUGGGGGAAGUCUUCUAUU
This 837-nucleotide long non-coding RNA is filed under the name Junco hyemalis (dark-eyed junco). RNAcentral's name for it is "lncRNA (ENSJHYG00000000279.1)". The record is from RNAcentral. Lineage: Eukaryota; Metazoa; Chordata; Aves; Passeriformes; Passerellidae.